RNAcentral lists this ribosomal RNA (229 nucleotides) under uncultured bacterium. RNAcentral's name for it is "partial 16S ribosomal RNA". It matches the Rfam family "Bacterial small subunit ribosomal RNA", at positions 568 to 796 of the family's 1533-position model. The record is from RNAcentral.
CACGCAGGCGGUCUUGCCAGUCAGAUGUGAAAGCCCGGGGCUCAACCCUGGAAGUGCAUUUGAAACUACAAGACUUGAGUAUGGUAGAGGAAAGGGGAAUUCCUGGUGUAGAGGUGAAAUUCGUAGAUAUCAGGAGGAACACCGGUGGCGAAGGCGCCUUUCUGGACCAAAACUGACGCUGAGGUGCGAAGGCGUGGGUAGCGAACAGGAUUAGAUACCCUGGUAGUCC